This 253-nucleotide ribosomal RNA is filed under the name uncultured bacterium. RNAcentral describes it as "partial 16S ribosomal RNA". It matches the Rfam family "Bacterial small subunit ribosomal RNA", at positions 524 to 776 of the family's 1533-position model. The record is from RNAcentral.
UACGUAGGGGGCAAGCGUUAUCCGGAAUUACUGGGUGUAAAGGGAGCGUAGACGGUAAUGUAAGUCUGGAGUGAAAGGCGGGGGCCCAACCCCCGGACUGCUCUGGAAACUAUGUUACUAGAGUGCAGGAGAGGUAAGCGGAAUUCCUAGUGUAGCGGUGAAAUGCGUAGAUAUUAGGAGGAACACCAGUGGCGAAGGCGGCUUACUGGACUGUAACUGACGUUGAGGCUCAAAAGCGUGGGGAGCAAACAGG